CAUUAGGGAAACUUCAAGCCCCCCACGCCUUGCUCCCUAAGACUUUCGGUUGGAAAAGCAGCUGCUGAGUUCUUUUAUUUCCUCCCCCACCCCCACAAUCGGACUCUGUAAAAAUAGCCGUGCUCCGGGGCCACCGAGCCAAGCUCCGCCGCCCCGCUGUCCCGGGCCGGGUGUGGACCUAAAAAUACCCGGCGGCCUGGAGCCUGUGCUCCGGGUGCGGGAGGGUCCGGCCGGGCCGCAGAGGGCGUCUGGAGACCGGAGAAACGGCGGACGCCUGGCCCCUCGCCUCGGCCGGGGCUGUCCCUUUAAAUCCUGGAGGAGGCAAAGAGAAAAAAAGGAAAGAAAGAGAAAAGACGAGGAGCCCCAAGCUGAGGGUGGCUCUGCCCGGCCCCCCAUUCCGCCCCCCGCGCCGCGUCCUGACUGCCGCCCGCCGCCCCUGCGGGUCUUGGGCGCCCCGCCCGCCGCCACAGUUACUGUCAAAAUAGAAAUUAAUUGGAGCCGAGGAGGAGGGACAGACGGACCGCAGCUGCGGCGAAGGAGGACGCGAGGACCGCGGCCCGGCGCCAAGUGCGGGAGGCGCGCAGGUCGGGCGGCGCGCAGAGGUGAGUGGCUUCGCGUGCCGAGCUGAGGCAUCGCCUGCGAGGGUCGCGAUCUUCCCCGCACCUCGCUUGUGCCGAGGCGGGUCGGGGGGUCGCGGGGCUCCCAGAGGGGUGGCUUUACAUCGCUGGCGCCGGGGAGUCAUCUCCCGAGCUGUUGCUAGGAGGCCGGCGGUCCGCGCACCCUGGGGCGCUGGCGGGGGCAGGGGCGUCCCCGGCGCGGCGGGCAGGAGGCGGGGGGUUGCGGUGGCUAUUCAGGGGCUCCGUGCGGCAGCCAUGCAACGGGAGGAGGCGGGAGGAGGUGGGGGGGAGGGAGGAGGGGAGAGCCAGCGGAGAGCGAGCCAGAGAGCGGGCGCCGCGCCUCCUGGCUGGCACCGCGGCCCGGAGCGAAGUGGCGCGCGGGGCUGGAAGGGAACUUCUGCGGGCGCAUGCCUUCCCGAGCUCGGCGGCGCCUUCGGGCCCGGGCGGGGCGGGCCUGUCGACAGCCACAGGUGGUUUCUGCCAAAAGUUUUACCGCACUUCUGCCGGGAAGGCGCGGGGACGUUUUGGAUAGUGGCGGUUUCCUGAGACUCUGGCGCUCGCACUGAGCUCUUACCUUGAAGAUUAGGAAGGGACUGGGAAACCUGGGACCCCGCAUCUCGCGAUGCGCCGCCAGGACUUCCUAGAGAUGCCUGCUCGAGGUGAUGUCUUUGCAGGACCCUGAAACCCAUGCUGCUGUCCAGUUGGGAAGUUGCGCGAAAUGGGCGCACGCAACGAUUCCUCCGCGUCUGGGAAAAGUUAAGCGAGGGCCAGCCCGGUAUCUGUUGCCCGCAGAGGUCAACCCAAAGUCUCUUCUUAGAGACGCACAAAGGAACCCGGCACGCCUUCGCUCCUGGUCUGGGUCAUCUCCUGCUCCUUUGAGAGCUAACCGUCUUCCGGCCGCUGUGUUGCUUUGUUAUUAGGGCUGCUUCUCUGAUUUCGUUAGGAAGAGUGCCAGGAGGAACCCAAGAAAAGCGGAGCGGCAACAACUCUCAUUUCCUUUGAAUCCAGCCGCGGUGGCUGGUGUGGAGGGUCCAGGACCGAGGGGAAGCAGGAAUUGGUGGCGUGUACUGCCUGCCGAGGGAGCCUCGCUGGGCUGGGGUUUCUGGGGCCUCUGGGACGGAAAGAGGGAUGACAGUGGGAAGGGAAGACCCUCAGAAGAGGAAGCUGUGCCUUGGUCGGCUCUGGGAGAGAGGCUCCUCAAGAAGUCCAGUGGUUUGGCCCUGUUCCUCAUUGGCCAGGUUGAUGAAUCCAGGGCAGCGAGGUUAGCACCACCCGGGUAGGUCCAUUCCUGGCCUGAAAGAAAUCAUUAUCCCCAAAGAGUCUGAUACCCUGGUGUUGCAAGUCCGUACAGAACUGCAUGAGAGUUGGAAACACUCAGUCCUUCAUUCUGGCUGGUCCCGUUCCCACUCCCUGUUCCCCCCAGCCCCACCAAGUACCUGAACAGAAAGCACACCCUUUGCUGUAAAGGAAGUCACAGAAUUUUGGAGCUGAAGGCGGGGGUUGCGGUGGCUAUUCAGGGGCUCCGUGCGGCAGCCAUGCAACGGGAGGAGGCGGGAGGAGGUGGGGGAGGGAGGAGGGAGAGCCAGCGGAGAGCGAGCCAGAGAGCGGGCGCCGCGCCUCCUGGCUGGCACCGCGGCCCGGAGCGAAGUGGCGCG
Molecule: long non-coding RNA, 2272 nt
Organism: Bos grunniens (domestic yak)
Lineage: Eukaryota; Metazoa; Chordata; Mammalia; Artiodactyla; Bovidae
Source: Ensembl